Molecule: ribosomal RNA, 549 nt
Filed under: uncultured Glomeromycotina
Lineage: Eukaryota; Fungi; Glomeromycota
Description: SSU rRNA
Rfam family: Eukaryotic small subunit ribosomal RNA
Source: RNAcentral
UUGGAGGGCAAGUCUGGUGCCAGCAGCCGCGGUAAUUCCAGCUCCAAUAGCGUAUAUUAAAGUUGUUGCAGUUAAAAAGCUCGUAGUUGAAUUUCGGGGUUAGUAGGUUGGUCAUGCCUCUGGUAUGUACUGGUCUCACUGAUUCCUCCUUCCUGAUGAGCCGUAAUGCCAUUAAUUUGGUGUUGCGGGGAAUUUGGACUGUUACUUUGAAAAAAUUAGAGUGUUUAAAGCAAGCUAACGCUUGAAUACAUUAGCGUGGAAUAAUGAAAUAGGACGUUCGAUCCUAUUUUGUUGGUUUCUAGGAUUGACGUAAUGAUUAAUAGGGAUAGUUGGGGGCAUUAGUAUUCAAUUGUCAGAGGUGAAAUUCUUGGAUUUAUUGAAGACUAACUACUGCGAAAGCAUUUGCCAAGGAUGUUUUCAUUAAUCAAGAACGAAAGUUAGGGGAUCGAAGACGAUCAGAUACCGUCGUAGUCUUAACCAUAAACUAUGCCGACUAGGGAUCGGAUGAUGUUAAUUUUUUAAUGACUCAUUCGGCGCCUUACGGGAAAC